CCUGAUGGCUCAGAUGGUAAAGAAUCUGCCUGCAAUGCAGAAGACCUGGGUUCGAUCCCUGGGUUAGGA
Molecule: transfer RNA, 69 nt
Filed under: Bos taurus (domestic cattle)
Lineage: Eukaryota; Metazoa; Chordata; Mammalia; Artiodactyla; Bovidae
Rfam family: tRNA
About the family: Transfer RNA (tRNA) molecules are approximately 80 nucleotides in length. Their secondary structure includes four short double-helical elements and three loops (D, anti-codon, and T loops).
Source: Rfam by way of RNAcentral